RNAcentral lists this ribosomal RNA (461 nucleotides) under uncultured bacterium. RNAcentral describes it as "SSU rRNA". It matches the Rfam family "Bacterial small subunit ribosomal RNA", at positions 26 to 518 of the family's 1533-position model. The record is from RNAcentral.
AGAGCGAACGCUGGCGGCAGGCCUAAUACAUGCAAGUCGAACGGACCCUUCGGGGUUAGUGGCGGACGGGUGAGUAACACGUGGGAACGUGCCCUUUGGUUCGGAACAACUCAGGGAAACUUGAGCUAAUACCGAAUGUGCCCCCAUCCUUAAACAAGAUGGGUGGGAAAGAUUUAUCGCCAUUGGAGCGGCCCGCGUCUGAUUAGCUAGUUGGUGAGGUAAAGGCUCACCAAGGCGACGAUCAGUAGCUGGUCUGAGAGGAUGAUCAGCCACACUGGGACUGAGACACGGCCCAGACUCCUACGGGAGGCAGCAGUAGGGAAUCUUGCGCAAUGGGCGAAAGCCUGACGCAGCCAUGCCGCGUGAAUGAUGAAGGUCUUAGGAUUGUAAAAUUCUUUCAGCGGGGACGAUAAUGACGGUACCGCAGAAGAAGCCCCGGCUAACUUCGCGCCAGCAGCCGC